CCUACGGGAGGCAGCAGUGAGGAAUAUUGGUCAAUGGGCGCGAGCCUGAACCAGCCAAGUCGCGUGAGGGAAGACGGUCCUAUGGAUUGUAAACCUCUUUUGUCGGGGAGCAAAAGACGCCACGCGUGGCGUUCCGAGAGUACCCGAAGAAAAAGCAUCGGUUAACUCCGUGCCAGCAGCCGCGGUACUACGGAGGAUGCGAGCGUAAUCCGGAUUUAUUGGGGUUAAAGGGUGCGCAGGCGGAAGAUCAAGUCAGCGGGAAAAUUGAGAGGUUCAACCUCUUCGAGCCGUUGAAACUGGUUGUCUUGAGUGAGCGAGAGGUAUGCGGAAUGCGUGGUGUAGCGGUGAAAUGCAUAGAUAUCACGCAGAACUCCGAUUGCGAAGGCAGCAUACCGGCGCUCAACUGACGCUCAUGCACGAAAGUGUGGGUAUCGAACAGGAUUAGAUACCCUAGUAGUC
RNAcentral lists this ribosomal RNA (459 nucleotides) under uncultured bacterium. Its description in RNAcentral is "partial 16S ribosomal RNA". It matches the Rfam family "Bacterial small subunit ribosomal RNA", at positions 338 to 795 of the family's 1533-position model. The record is from RNAcentral.